GAGAAAGCGUUGCCGCAGGCAACGACCCAAAGGGCGAAGCGCGCAGCGCUGAGUAAUCCUUCCCCCACCACCA
This 73-nucleotide small RNA is filed under the name Salmonella enterica. RNAcentral's name for it is "partial RtT sRNA". It matches the Rfam family "RtT RNA", at positions 59 to 130 of the family's 130-position model. From Rfam's summary of the family: This family represents a bacterial cis-regulatory element known as RtT RNA. The exact function of RtT is unknown although it is thought that it may be involved in changing the cellular response in relation to amino acid starvation. The record is from RNAcentral. Lineage: Bacteria; Pseudomonadati; Pseudomonadota; Gammaproteobacteria; Enterobacterales; Enterobacteriaceae.